GACGGACACUGGCGGCGUGCUUAACACAUGCAAGUCGAACGGAAAGGCCCAGCUUGCUGGGUGCUCGAGUGGCGAACGGGUGAGUAACACGUGGGUGAUCUGCCCCUAACUUCGGGAUAAGCUUGGGAAACUGGGUCUAAUACCGGAUAGGACAAUCGUUUAGUGUCGGUUGUGGAAAGUUUUUUCGGUUAGGGAUGAGCCCGCGGCCUAUCAGCUUGUUGGUGGGGUAAUGGCCUACCAAGGCGUCGACGGGUAGCCGGCCUGAGAGGGUGGACGGCGACAUUGGGACUGAGAUACGGCCCAGACUCCUACGGGAGGCAGCAGUGGGGAAUAUUGCACAAUGGGCGCAAGCCUGAUGCAGCGACGCCGCGUGGGGGAUGACGGCCUUCGGGUUGUAAACCUCUUUCGACAGGGACGAAGCUUUGGUGACGGUACCUGUAUAAGAAGCACCGGCUAACUACGUG
RNAcentral lists this ribosomal RNA (464 nucleotides) under uncultured bacterium. RNAcentral describes it as "partial 16S ribosomal RNA". It matches the Rfam family "Bacterial small subunit ribosomal RNA", at positions 28 to 507 of the family's 1533-position model. The record is from RNAcentral.